UCCCUGAUGGUCAAGUGACUAAGACUCUGAGCUCACAAUGCAGGGGCCCAGGGUCGAUCCCUAGUCGGGGAA
Molecule: transfer RNA, 72 nt
Filed under: Bos taurus (domestic cattle)
Lineage: Eukaryota; Metazoa; Chordata; Mammalia; Artiodactyla; Bovidae
Also listed under: 2 other names
Rfam family: tRNA
About the family: Transfer RNA (tRNA) molecules are approximately 80 nucleotides in length. Their secondary structure includes four short double-helical elements and three loops (D, anti-codon, and T loops).
Source: Rfam by way of RNAcentral